This 1280-nucleotide ribosomal RNA is filed under the name Aeolidia papillosa. RNAcentral's name for it is "SSU rRNA". It matches the Rfam family "Eukaryotic small subunit ribosomal RNA". Lineage: Eukaryota; Metazoa; Mollusca; Gastropoda; Nudibranchia; Aeolidiidae. The record is from RNAcentral.
UUGUCUUGAGGGUUAAGCCAUGCACGCCUAUGCUCACCCUACACAGAAGGGGAAGCCGCGAACUGCUCAGUAUAUCGGCGAUAAUACACGGGGUGGGCGAUGUUUGUCCGGACACCUGUAGGAAUCCCAGAGCUAAUACGUGCACACGAGUCCUCCUCCUAACGGGGUUACCUCCGCGGGGAGAGGGCGCAUUUAUUAGGAUCUUGACCGGCGGUGGGCAGUCAACGCUGUCCACCAGGCUGAGGCGAACUCUGGGUAUGUGACGACCGCUGUUAGCGGCGUGCCCGUUUGCUCGCCGUCCCAUCAAAUUUAGACGGCCCGGGCAAGAGCCCCCCGUGUUGGCUACGGGUGACGGAGGAUCAGGGUUCGAUCCCGGAGAGGGAGCCUGCGAGACGGCUACCACGCUUAAGGGUGGCAGCAGGCGCGCAACUUACCCACUCCCAGCACGGUGAGGUAGUGAAGAUAAAUGUCGGGGCUGGGCUCGCAUGCGAGCCUAGCGGUCGGAUUGAGCGUAGACCAAACACGUGCCGUUGAUGACCUAUCGGAGGGCAAGUCUGGUGCCAGCAGCCGCGGAAGGGCACCACCAGGAGUGGAGCCUGCGGCUCAAUUUGACUCAACACGAGGAAGCUUACCAGGUCCGGACACCGCGUGGAUUGACAGACUGAGGCUCUUUCAUGAUUCGGUGGGUGGUGGUGCAUGGCCGUUGCUAGCCCGUGGAGCGAUCCGUCUGGUUCAUUCCGAUAACGGGCGAGACUCUGCCCUGGCGGAUAACAAACGGCGGUCAAGAGGGGUUCGUCUCACGGGUUGGGGCGGCGUCAGGCUCUCGGGUCGGGCGUCGUUCUUCCCACUCAGGGAGAGUCGUUGCCCCGGACCGCCGUCGCGCAGGCCGCGUCUUGCAGGGAUUGACCUCGAGCAGUGCGUACGAGAUGGAGCCAUAACAGGUCUGUGAUGCCCUUAGACGUCCUGGGCUGCACGUGUGCUACAGUGGUGGCGCCAGCUCGGCGCGGUGUAGACCGUGAGCGUAGGAGUCUUCAUCUCCGGGGUCGGUCUUCCUGCGAGUUGGGCCGUGAACUCGGAAUGCCACGUAGUCACGGGUCAGCAUCCCGUGCCGACUACGUCCCUGCCCUUUGUACACACCGCCCGUCGCUACCUUCGGUGGACGGCGCAGCCAGGACCCCGGAGUGGCCGGCGAGACGGGGCCUCGUGCCCCUGAAAUCGCAGUCGCCGCGAUGUCGCCCGAACUGCGCUGCCCCGAGAGGGUAAUAGUCGUAACGCGGUUA